This 753-nucleotide long non-coding RNA is filed under the name Physcomitrium patens. RNAcentral describes it as "long non-coding RNA (PPAT_LNC008167)". The record is from RNAcentral. Lineage: Eukaryota; Viridiplantae; Streptophyta; Bryopsida; Funariales; Funariaceae.
CAAAAGUUUUGAAUGUUGGAUAGAGGGCAUAUGUACAAAUUAAAAGAGAAUUAUGAGGUUGUUCUAUACCAGAUACAGCAAUGUUAAGAUGAAUUGUAUAUAUAAAGUUUAUGAAUCUUAAAUUCAAGCAUAUUUUAGAAAAUUUAAUAUGGUUGUAGAUAUGCUAUUAUGAGCACGAUACGAUGAUGAAGAUGAUAUGGUUGAUGAUGAAAAAAAUAACGGCACUAACUUUUAUUUGACUUUGUGUACAAGAAGGGAUGGAUUGUGUUUGGCUAUACCUCUUGAAUUAUUCUCAAAAGAGUUAUAUGAUAGUCAAUGAUUGUAUAUAGGAAAAUACUUAAAUACAUUAAUGCAAGAAGAAGAUUAGACAAACAAAGAAUUUAAGAAGAUUCAAAAGAAAGCAUAUGGAUAUUUUCUUUGAAAUGAUUUUUUGGAAAGCAUCUAAAGAAGAAAGAAGAAGCAUUGCAAUGAAUAAUUUAGGGUUUGUUUAGAAUUUAGGAUUUUCUUAAGGUUUAGGAUUUAGAAUUUUCUUAGGAUUUAGGAUUUAGGAUUUUUUUAGGAUUUAAGAUUUGGCAUAGGAUUUUAUUGAAGUCUAUUAGGGUUUCAAUUAGGAUUAAAUUAGGACUUCAUUGAGAUUUAUUUAAGAUAUAUUUGUAAUUAUUUUAAUAUUUUUUUAUGACUUUUUAAGGAUUCUUUUAAAAUUUAUUAUAGAUUUCUUUUGAACUCCUUUAAGAUUUUUUAUUGUUUCUUUUU